Molecule: ribosomal RNA, 253 nt
Filed under: uncultured bacterium
Lineage: Bacteria
Description: partial 16S ribosomal RNA
Rfam family: Bacterial small subunit ribosomal RNA
Source: RNAcentral
UACGUAGGGGGCAAGCGUUGUCCGGAAUUACUGGGCGUAAAGCGCGUGUAGGCGGGCCGGCAAGUCUGGCGUGAAAGGCUCGGGCUCAACCCGAGAUGGCCGCUGGAAACUGCCGUUCUUGAGGGUCGAAGAGGAGAGUGGAAUUCCUGGUGUAGCGGUGAAAUGCGUAGAGAUCAGGAGGAACACCCAUGGCGAAGGCAGCUCUCUGGUCGACCUCUGACGCUGAGACGCGAAAGCGUGGGGAGCGAACGGG